AGUGAACGCUGGCGGUAGGCCUAACACAUGCAAGUCGAACGGUGGCACAGUAAGAGCUUGCUCUUACGGGUGGCGAGUGACGGACGGGUGAGGAAUACGGCGGAAUCUACUUUUUCGUGGGCGAUAACGUAGGAAGACUUCCGCUACUACCUCAUACGAUUUAAGAUAGAAAGUAGGGGUUCUUGGGACCUUGCGCUAACGCAUGAGUCGAUGUCGGUUUUGUUAGUUGGCGGGGUAAAGACCCACCAAGGCGACGAACCGUAGCUGGUCUGAGUGGAGGACCAGCCACACUGGAACUGAGACACGGUCCAGACUCCUACGGGAGGCAGAAGAGGGGAAUUUUGGACAAGGGGCGCAAGCCUGCUCAGGCCAUACCGCGUGGGUGAAGAAGGCCUUCGAGUGGUAAAGCCCGUUUGUAGGGAAAGAAAAGCAGCAGGUUAAAACCCCGCUGAUGUGACGGUACCCAAAGAAUAAGCACCGGCUAACUUCGUG
This 492-nucleotide ribosomal RNA is filed under the name uncultured bacterium. Its description in RNAcentral is "partial 16S ribosomal RNA". It matches the Rfam family "Bacterial small subunit ribosomal RNA", at positions 29 to 507 of the family's 1533-position model. The record is from RNAcentral.